Long non-coding RNA from Colossoma macropomum (tambaqui), 3199 nucleotides. RefSeq lists it as uncharacterized. The transcript is spliced from 3 exons. The record is from RefSeq and is a predicted model, not a curated record. Lineage: Eukaryota; Metazoa; Chordata; Actinopteri; Characiformes; Serrasalmidae.
CUGAAUUAUCACUUUUUUGUCAUAAGUGGACCUCAAGGCUCUGGCUAUUGAUGGAUGGUGUGACGUGGCCACAGAAUACUUGGAAUACAGGAAGUGCAAGAGGAUGAACGCUGCUUGGUCUGGAAGCCUUCUAAAGCAGCCAGAUCCAGGGCAUAAGACCUACUUCCCUGCAGUCCUCACAUACAGAUCUGCUGGUCAUCUCUGCUCCUCUCUCUUGUCAGUACCACUAUGUGAAUGAGAGUAAGACCUGGUUUGAAGCUCAGAGCUACUGCAGAGAGAGAGAUACACUGACCUGGCUACUGUGGACAGCAUGGAGGAGAUGAAGAAGCUGAUAGUAAAAGUAGAUCCUAAGUACAGAAGCGCUGUGUGGAUUGGACUUACAAGAGGAAACCAGACCGCCUGGGGCUGGUCUAUGGGAAAUAACACCUUCUCCAAGCAGCCUUUUUAUUUUAUUAUUCUGUUUUAAAACAUUAAGUUAUGAAAAUGUUACAAGUUACGUAAAAUUGACCUGCACAGCGAUAUUUUUUUCUGGCAGUGUAGAAGUAUUACAUCUGGGGAUGGAUCAGUUAUCAGUUUAAAUAAGCUCAGUCCAGUUUGGCUCAUUUGUUUCGUUAUUGUACUUAAUUCACUUCACUGUCAUAAAGGCUCCAUAAUCGUUAAACAUCACUUUAGAACCUGCGGCAGUAAGGCAUGUUACAGAAAAGCGGUCAAAAUGUUCACUGUCUGUAACAACUUUAAGGUAGAAAUGUUUGUGCUGGGUUUGACCUACCCAGGACGAUAAGCAGCUAAGAUGAUGAGUGAGUGUGUGAGUGUUAUCAAAUUGACUACACUAAAAAAAAUAAAAAAAUAUAAAAAUAGUACAUUCUUAUAAUAAUACAUAAUAUAAUAAUUAGAAUAGUAUGUUUUAUUUAAUAAGCCAAUCAAUAGGAAUGAAAUAAACAUUAUUUCUUGCAAUAUUUUUGUGUAGUGUUAUGCAGGUGGAAAUCAUAGUAUUUUUGUCAUGUUGAGGUCUUAAAAAUGCAUCGCAUUUGAUUUUAAAAGCUGUGCAGCAACGCUGUUAAAAAUAAAGGUGUCCAAAAUAGCUAUUGGGAGCGAUAACAUAGAAGAAGCACUUUUGGUUCCCUAAAGAAUCUUUCAACAAAUUGUUAAUGAAAUGUUAAUUUGUAAAUGAAAUGUUUGAGUGUGAAGAAUCUCUUAAAGUUUAAAUAGCCUCCACAUAGGGCUUUGGUCAAGACCACUUUUGUCCAAGACCAUGAAUAGUCGAAACAUUUCUGGCCUAAAGCUGCUGAAGCUCUGCUCUGGUUCACUCCGGUCCAGUUUAUCCCUUGCACUGCUUCAGUGCAAGUGAGUGCUUGCUGGUGACAGUUAGGCUUCAGCAUUCAAAUAAAUGCUGAAUGAAGCUGAAUGAUCUAUUGGCUUUUAGUUUAUGUAAGCCCCCUGUUUUUUUACAGAAUCAUCCAUUCUGUCUCAACGGUACAUUCAAGUACAGAAACAGCUCACCUGGAGAGCAGCUCAGCGAUACUGAAGAGAGAUAUACACUGACCUGUCCAGUAUCCACAAUGCAGAAGAAAACAACCAGCUGAAUUACACGUUAAGUGACACGUGGGUCGGCCUGUUCAAUGAUUCCUGGGAGUGGUCAAACCAGAAUACCUCUUCAUUUCGCUACUGGGCAGACUCUGAACCGGAUCAGACUAACAAGUGCGUCUCAGUGGCUAUGAAUGACUCUGGGAGAUGGUACGAUGAAGACUGCGGCCUGAAGCGCAAUUUUGUCUGCUAGUACUGUGAGUGUCUACCUGCUGAAUGUGAAACAUCAGGUGCAGUGUCCCACGAUCAAGUUUUCCAAAGGAGAAGCUAUAAAGCUUAGAUCUCUCACCAGGGUGUAAUUGAUAUUAAGAUUAUAUGUUCGUUUGACAACUUGCAUGUAUAAUUAUUCGCUUCAUAAGUGUGGAAUUCCUGUUGUCAGUUACUGUUUAUUUUGAGUUGAUGUGUAAACAAAGAUACGUUCCUUCUGUGUGUAAACAUGCUUGGCCAAUAAAGCCUAAAUCUGAUCCUCAAUUAAUGUUCUGUUUUAAUCCAUUUAAAACUGAAAGUGUUUGCGUGUAAUUGAACAUGUUCUUUCUUCUCAGAUGCUAAAAUACAGACAGUGAGAGUGAAGGUGAGCUCUAUUGGAAAGAAGGACCUCAGUGACCCUGAAGUAAAGGCAACUAUCUUGAAGCAGGUCAGUCUGACUUCUGAUGGCAGGAUCCUUCAAGAACAGCAUAUCUGAUCUCAAAACUGUACGUGAAAAAGAGAAAAUGACCAGCGUCCAGUAAUCGUACUGACUGAUCAUGUUAUUCAAACGAUCACUCACAUGUCUAAAGACUAAACUUCAAUAAAGAGAGAAGUGAUAGCCUGUAGUACUCUUAAAAGUACACAAAGAGUAACUUGUCUAUUGUUUAUACACACUUACCUAGUAAUUUAUUAGGAACACCUCUUUGUCCAUUUUAUCAGCUCCACUAACAUGUAGGUCCACUUUGUAGUUUUAUGAUUACAGGCUGUAGUCCAUCUGUUUUUUUUGGAUACUUUUUUAACUUUCAGUGAUCAGGAGCCCCACAGGCUUGUGGGCUUAUGUACAAGAAACCAUAAUUCAUUUUACAUGAUUUUCCAACCUGUCUAUUCCCCUUAGAAUUAAACAGGCUGUUUUUUGUUACAGUGCCUUUAAGACUGAUAUAAAUGAAAAUGAGCUAUGUUCUAAUUGGCUGUCCUGUUUUGUACUUCUUUCAAAAAGCAGUCCUAGCUGAAACACGCCUUAUAUCUUCAGCCAUGAAUCAGCAGGGCUAGACUGCUGUAGGCUGAAAGGGGUUGAUAUGUGUAAAUGUGUUCGUUUUUGGUGACUUCACAAAAGCAGUGAAUUCUGAAUGGCCUGUUUUGCAGCCUAGUUUGCAUAUGUGGACUGUAUGGACUGAGGAGUGAUGAAGCACACAAUACUUAAGCAGGCAUUUUAUUUAUUUAUUUAUUUAUUCAUUGAUGUAGAACACAUUAUUUAAAGACUGUUUGCAUUGUAGUUAAUUAUCGUUAUUGUGUUUAUUUCAGCAUUCAUUCAACUUUUUUCUUUAACAAAAUUAAUAUAUUAUUAAUUUAUUUUCAGAAUCAGUGGCAUAAAUGCAGCCAUUUUACUAUUAACUAUUUUGAUCAAGAACUUUCUAUGAGGAAGCUUUUA